CAGGAUUCCCCUAGUAACUGCGAGUGAAGCGGGAAAAGCUCAAAUUUAAAAUCUGGUGGUCUCUGGCCAUCCGAGUUGUAAUCUAGAGAAGUGUUAUCCGCGCUGGACCGUGUACAAGUCUCCUGGAAUGGAGCGUCAUAGAGGGUGAGAAUCCCGUCUUUGAUACGGACUGCCAGGGCUUUGUGAUGCGCUCUCAAAGAGUCGAGUUGUUUGGGAAUGCAGCUCAAAAUGGGUGGUAAAUUCCAUCUAAAGCUAAAUAUUGGCGAGAGACCGAUAGCGAACAAGUACCGUGAGGGAAAGAUGAAAAGAACUUUGGAAAGAGAGUUAAACAGUACGUGAAAUUGCUGAAAGGGAAACGCUUGAAGUCAGUCGCGUUGUCUGGGGAUCAACCUUACUUUUGUUGGGCGUACUUUCCAGAUGACGGGUCAGCAUCAAUUUUGACCGUUGGAUAAAGUCUAGAGGAAUGUGGCAUCUUCGGAUGUGUUAUAGCCUUUGGUCGCAUACAACGGUUGGGAUUGAGGAACUCAGCACGCCGAAAGGCCGGGUACUUGUACCACGUUCGUGCUUAGGAUGCUGGCAUAAUGGCUUUAAUCGACCCGUCUUGAAACACGGACCAAGGAGUCUAACAUGCCUGCGAGUAUUUGGGUGGAAAACCCGAGUGCGUAAUGAAAGUGAAAGUUGAGAUCCUUGUCAUGGGGAGCAUCGACGCCCGGACCAGACCUUUUGUGACGGAUCUGCGGUAGAGCAUGUAUGUUGGGACCCGAAAGAUGGUGAACUAUGCCUGAAUAGGGUGAAGCCAGAGGAAACUCUGGUGGAGGCUCGUAGCGAUUCUGACGUGCAAAUCGAUCGUCAAAUUUGGGUAUAGGGGCGAAAGACUAAU
RNAcentral lists this ribosomal RNA (880 nucleotides) under Pholiota limonella. Its description in RNAcentral is "partial large subunit ribosomal RNA". It matches the Rfam family "Eukaryotic large subunit ribosomal RNA", at positions 70 to 935 of the family's 3401-position model. The record is from RNAcentral. Lineage: Eukaryota; Fungi; Basidiomycota; Agaricomycetes; Agaricales; Strophariaceae.